GGCGGCGGCGGUCGCCACCUUGCCCCAGCCAUCUCUUCCUUGCCCGUCAACGGUGAUUGACUAGCUCUUCCUCGUCUCCAACUCUGGACCAGGGAAGCAGAUAAGAGAAGGCAAUCAGAUUUUAGUUUCUUGUAUAAGGCAGUGAAACUGACCACAACAUUGUUCUUCUAAAUGGAGGAAACUAGCGCCACCUCGCCCUCGCGAGUGGUAUGCACGACAUAUCUUCAUAGUGUACCAGCCCUCUCAGAAUCGGUCCAUGGCCUUGAAUUAAGUGAUGCCAACUCUUUUUCAGAGAUUAAUUCUGCUAUGCUUCCUUUUGAUGAAUUCUCUACGCCUAAGAAGAGACAAUGCUUUUCUCUAGAUGUAAG
Molecule: long non-coding RNA, 368 nt
Organism: Triticum aestivum (bread wheat)
Lineage: Eukaryota; Viridiplantae; Streptophyta; Magnoliopsida; Poales; Poaceae
Exons: 3
Source: RefSeq, a predicted model, not a curated record